CCAGACUCCUACGGGAGGCAGCAGUGGGGAAUAUUGCACAAUGGGGGGAACCCUGAUGCAGCGACGCCGCGUGGGCGAGGAAGUAUUUCGGUAUGUAAAGCCCUAUCGGCAGGGAAGAAGAAAUGACGGUACCUGAAUAAGAAGCACCGGCUAAAUACGUGCCAGCAGCCGCGGUAAUACGUAUGGUGCAAGCGUUAUCCGGAUUUACUGGGCGUAAAGGGAGCGCAGGCGGCGCGCCAAGUCUGAUGUGAAACCCCGGGGCUCAACCCCCGAACUGCAUUUGAAACUGUUGGUCUUGAGUAUCGGAGAGGCAGGCGGAAUUCCUAGUGUAGCGGUGAAAUGCGUAGAUAUUAGGAGGAACACCAGUGGCGAAGGCGGCCUGCUGGACGACAACUGACGGUGAGGCGCGAAAGCGUGGGGAGCAAACAGGAUUAGAUACCCUUGUAU
RNAcentral lists this ribosomal RNA (447 nucleotides) under uncultured bacterium. RNAcentral's name for it is "partial 16S ribosomal RNA". It matches the Rfam family "Bacterial small subunit ribosomal RNA", at positions 331 to 793 of the family's 1533-position model. The record is from RNAcentral.